Long non-coding RNA from Prionailurus viverrinus (fishing cat), 843 nucleotides. RefSeq lists it as uncharacterized. The transcript has 3 exons. The record is from RefSeq and is a predicted model, not a curated record. NCBI's taxonomy places the organism in Eukaryota, Metazoa, Chordata, Mammalia, Carnivora, Felidae.
GUCCCAGGGGCUGGACUUCCGCGGGGCGCGUGGCUGUUGUUCCCCCUCAGGUGCCCUCGCGCUAGGCUGGGUCUGCGGACAGCCGAGGGGGCAGAAUAGGGGGCUCGAGGGGAGGAGGCCAGGCGGCUCUGCCUCCCGGGACCGGCGCUGCCAAGUUCUCGGCGUCCGGCGGUCCGCGCGUUUCCUGGGCCUCGGAGUUUGAGGCGGAGGGGCCCGGGGAGGCCCGGGUCGGCGAGGCCAGCGUCCGUCCGGCUCUGACCCGCGCAGCCCGCCUCGCUCCGCGCCAGCGCCCUGUCCCCGGCCGAAAGCCUGCGCGCCGCAGACAGAUGGGGGAUGGCGCCGGACUUCUGGAGGGACCCAGAACCGGCUGUUCUUUCAUCUUCCCGGCAGCCUGCACGUCCACUCUGGAGUCCUGCUCUUCCAGUUUGCUCCCACUCCACUGGCUGCGGAUUCAAGAAGCUUGGCAAGCCACAAACAGGAUGAGCACAGGAAAAUCACACCUGGAGUAAGCAUGUCAUAGUCCAAGUGCUGAAAACCAGAGGUAAAGAAAACAUUUUGAAAGCAGGUAGGUUCCAUAUCGGGGAACAGUGAUGUGGAAGAGUGGAGGACAGAGUCAGUGAGCUCACACUCUGAAGUGCUGACAAAGAAGACAAUCUAGAAUUCUGUAGCCAAUGAAAAUAUCUUGCAGUAGGAGAGACAGGUAAAGACAUUUUAUGAGAAAUGAUAGAGGAUGGGGCUCCUGGGUGGCUCAGUCAGUUAAGCAGCCGACUCCUGAUUUGGGCUCAGGUCGUGAUCUCGUGGUUUGUGAGUUCAAAACCUGCACUGGGCUCUGUGCUGGCGGCG